This 253-nucleotide ribosomal RNA is filed under the name uncultured bacterium. RNAcentral's name for it is "partial 16S ribosomal RNA". It matches the Rfam family "Bacterial small subunit ribosomal RNA", at positions 524 to 776 of the family's 1533-position model. The record is from RNAcentral.
UACGUAGGGUGCAAGCGUUAAUCGGAAUCACUGGGCGUAAAGGGCGCGUAGGCGGCGCGGGAAGUCCGUGGUGAAAGCCCGAGGCUCAACUUCGGGUCGGCCAUGGAUACUCCUGGGCUCGAGCACUGUAGAGGCAGGUGGAAUUCCGGGUGUAGCGGUGGAAUGCGUAGAGAUCCGGAAGAACACCGGUGGCGAAGGCGGCCUGCUGGGCAGUAGCUGACGCUGAGGCGCGACAGCGUGGGGAGCAAACAGG